CAGCUAAGCCUGAUGAUCAGAGUUCAAUCCCCAUGACCCACAUGACGAAAGAACCAGCUCCUGAGGGUUGUCCUCUGAUCUCGGUUGUGAGGGCUCCCUCACACACACACACAGAUAGAGAAUUAAGAGCAAACAUUUAAAAGAGGAAAGCAAGGCCACCACACCGGCCACGGUGUCUCCUCCGGAACCGGUCCUGAGAGGUACCGAAAGUCUGGACUCCACGGGCUGUGCGUUGAGGAAGGAGGAUGCCAGCACAUUUGUCUCCAAGCCCAAGCCUAACGGGCAGUUUGAACAGCCAUUAGAGAAGAAUUACCGCCGUACCGUUUUCCAGAUGACUGUGGGCAUUUGCUGCAGACCAUAAAUAAUGGCAUCUGCGGUACAGAAAAUAAGAAACAUGUCCCCAGUAUUUUCUUCAUUAAAAUUCAUAGCCUCUCUCGUCCCAUUGAGAAUUGCAGUACUGUUUCCACUUAGCGAAAAUUUGCUUUGAAGAGUGUUUUGUUCUAGGUCAAUUCUUAAGGACGGCCAUUAGUUAAACAGUAUGAGCUAUCACGGAAGAAACUGGAAAUAACAUAGACUAGGAGGACGGGGAAGCUGUAGCGUGUCAACCGGAUGGAAUGACGCUCAGCCGUCUAUACAAAUCCCAUCUAUACACACCACGCACAGAGGCCAAACCACGCGGAAACGCAAACAGCGUGUCAGCGCGCCUCCGGGGAUUCAGAAAACGAUGUAGCAGGAGUGUGUACAGAAGGCCACUGAAGAAAACUCACCUGCUACGUUAGGCAAAGGUGUCCUGAUCCUUUUGUUUAUUAUUUUAUUUUAUUUUAUUUUUUGCUGCAGUUAUUAAAUUAUGUCUAGCAUCUGGGAGUGUGUUCUUGGCAUGAGUGAGGCCAAAGGCUUGAGUCCCACCCCCAUAUCAUAAACUAAAUAAACUUGUCAAGAUAUAACAGUUGAAAUAUAAAAUUAGCGACGAUGGACCCUCCACUAAGGAACGCUCCGUGGGAACUACGUUUAAAGAGUUGUGCAAACACGCAGGAUGGCGUGGGGAGGACAGCACGGGCUGUAAUGCCAGCGCUUGGAAGUCUGAGGAGACAGGAUCCGAAGUUUAAGUCCAGCCUGAACCACACGGUGAGUCCCUGAGACAAAGACACAAAACACACAGAAAGGGGCGAGAGUACCGGGUUCAGUUGUUAAGAGUUUGCGGUGUAGCAUUGAGGACCAGAGCUCAGAUCCCGGCACCAACACAACAAGCUUGGCAAAUGACUGUCACUCUGUCUCAGAGGGAUCCAGCAUCUUCUGGUCUCCCACUCACGAACCUGUACACACACACACACACACACACACACACACACGAUAAUUACUCAAUUUUUUAAAGACAGAGGAAGAGAGUAUUUCCCAACACGUCAGUGUCUGGGUUAUGACCCUGCCUCACCAACUAGAUAUCCUUGACUUAAGUAGGACCUGAAACAGUAGAACUUGAGUAAUAAAAUAUUUCUUUAAAGGAAUGCAAUCCUAUCACUUUCAGAUACUUAGCAACUUAAUAUGUUUUUAAGUGGUGGGUGAAGCUUACGAGCGGCUAAGAUUAACGGAGAACUGACGGCUAUUUAUACAUGCUGUCAGCUCCCUUUUCACCCUUGGCAGGACCAAAAAACUUGACGGCAACUGUUGACAGAACGAAAAACCCGGAAAACCAUUCAGAACAGUACAACCAUUCCUUCAAAAAUCACACUUGUGGCCUGUGAAUCACACACCUGCCCGCAAUCGGCUGGCACGAUGGCCCUGGACAGGGAAGAGCAGCAAUUCAAGGCCUCUGGAAAGCUGUUGGGACGAGAUGAGGCAAUCCAACACCUCAGCUCUCCGCUCCUGACUUAACUCCUCCUCAAAGGCUCACGGAACUGGGAGACACAGGCUCCUUGGUUGGUAUCAGCUUAGUUUGCACCAAUACGUAGCCCAGACUGGACAGGAACGAUGUAGCCUCGAUCUCUCAGUCCUCCUGCCUCAGUCUGAGUGUUAGCGUUGCAAGAGUGAACCCUGUACCACUUACGAGCAUCAACGUUCACUCUCAACAGCCUUCGCCAUCAGCAGUCGAGCUGGAAACAGACCAAGAGUACAUCGGAAAAGCACACCUACCUACCGAGCCCGAAUCAAACGCAGGUUCAGGUUGCUCUAUUGCGCGCAUUUACAUGAAUUAUCAUCCAUUUUUACCUUGGGUCACAGACAUGGUAUUUGAAUAAGAGUUUCUUGCUUAGAAAAUCAAAAUGCUUUCCUGCCAGGAAAAAAAAAAAUGGUUACGGGAAAAAAAAAAAAAAAAAAAAAAAAAAGGUUAUCCAGGUAGGAGAAUCAAUAUCAGGGCUUUUGACGCUGGGAUGAGUUGAGAUUGCACGCCGUCCGCCUCACUACCACUGGGGGUCUGCCAUCGAAGGCGUCACUUUUGCUAAAACGGCUUUUCGGGGAAAAGAUCUUCCCUCACUAGGCGGCAACGAGCACGUCUGAGCUCAGCGCCGCGCCGCGAUCAGGGGCUGUGCGGGUCCUAGCGGCUUGUGCCCGAGGCAGCCGGGCGAGGGGCAGAACUCUGUCUGUCUGCACUUGUGCACCUUUCACCGUCUGCGGUGUUACAGGAAGAAGCAAAGAGCAGCGAUUUCCUUCCAAAAGGUCAGCUGCUUCAGACAGACCAAACAGAAGGCUCUAAGUGCUCGCCAACUUCCCCUCCGCAGCUAGUACGCAAUCACAUUCUGUUUCCAGUAAAGCUCCCAAGAAAAACAAGCAGACGGAGACCCAGAAUCUCUGCCACCAACGGGCCGAGGCUGCCUAGGUUAAAAGCAGUAAAAGAACACGAGGCCCUGUGCACCGGGUAGGCCAGGGCACCGUUUAGAAUCGCCAGAGUGAGGUCAUACUUGGCCAAGAAUGAUUUUAAGAGUUUGGUUUUUUUCUUUUGUAUGUUACACGUGAGGUGCAUGUGUGUUGUGGCGUGCGUGUGGCAGUCAGAGAACAGAGUCUGUUCUCUCCAUCCACUUUUUGGGUCCCAGUAACCAAACUUGGGUCGCCAAGCUCGGUGGCGAGCGCCCUUUACCCACUGAGCCAUCACGCUGGCCUCCCCAUUGUUGUACUUUACAUGAAAAAUCCAGAAGUCUGUAUCUAAAAAUAUGAUAGUAAUCUGAUGAUAAGAGUGACAUUUAAGGUCUCUGCGUGACUGACAAAAUUAAAAUGUCAGCCUUUUCUUUUCUCAGACUAAAGGCAAGACCAGCCAUGGGGCUGGAGAGUUGGUUCAGCGGUUGAGAGCACUGACUUCUAUUCCUAGAGGACCUGGGUUCAAUUCCUAGCAUACACCCACAGGCGGUUCACAGCUGUCUGUGACUCCAGUUCCAGGGGAUCUGACACCCUCACACGGACAUACAUGCAGGUAAAACACCAAUGUACACAAAACAAAAAUAAGAAAUCAUAAAAAAAAAUUUAAAACAAAACAAUCAAACUAACAAAAGCCUCGCAGUCUAAAAAAAAAAAGCCUCGACACCUACUAGGCCCAGCAGGCACUCACGCAGUGCUAAAACCCCGGAGGCCACAGAAAAUGCACACACAGCUUCUAGACCCAGAGAAAAGAUCACUAAACCGAUGAGCAAAGAGAGGUUUAAAGUCUUCUUCAGAUAGUAAUUCCAAAUGUUUAAAAUGGCACUGAAGAUUUUAGUGUCCCCUACACACACACACACACACACACACACCCUCCCAACAGCAUUGUGUCCCGACACAGACUUCUGUGAGUGAAAAGAGCACGGAACUACAGAAGAACCUGCAUUCGGUUCUCCCAGAGGCAGCAACAAUGUGAAGAAGAAGAAGGAAGAGAGAUGAAGGCUUUAAGUUUCUCCGCCUGAUCAGUUCCUGCUUUAACUAUUUACAUUCCAUGGUGUGGUGGCCUAGACUGGGAAGAUAGCUCAGUUGGUAAAGAAUUUGUCUGGGAAGCACGAGGACCUGAGUUCAGAUCCCUAGAGCCCACAGUGGUAAAUGUCUUUACAAUGGCAAGACAGGAGGCAGACAUGAGGUCGCUGGUCAGAUAAUACAGCCUAAUUGAUUAGGUUCAAGGCCAGCAAGAGACCUUGUCCAACAAAAGGUGGAAGGUGGCUGAGGAAUGAUAAACAAAGUUGUCUUCUGACCUCCCCACACAUGGAGAGGAGACAAAAACAAAUGAAGAGUCCCCGUGAGAGGCUCACAUGACAUGCCUUCGGCUCCAUGUGGUUUCUAACUAACUACUCUCUCUCGGGUUGUGGUGGCAACAGAGACCCCAGGCUUUUUGUGGGAGGUGCUCUUCUGCAGAAGCCAGGCUUUGAUCACCGAGCGCUUAACCCCAGCUUCAGAGCACCCAGGACCAGAUGAAGACAAUUGAAAGCUCCUGGGGUGAAAAAAAAAAAAAAAAAACUUGUUACAUAGGCUAAAUUAAGCUACAUGCUGGAAACUGUUUCAUGUCGACACAAAGUAAGCUACUUAAUUUCCACUCUCUGCUCCACAGCCGGAGGGGGUGGGCACUCGGGGGAGAAGGCGACGGUCCUGGUAGCAGAAGGGAUGAAAAACACCGAGGAGCUGUUACCACACGCCCUGGGCACCUGUGCCCUGUGCAUAUGUCCUCAGUGAGUCUCCCAAGGACGCCUGAGGUGUCUCUAACGGUGUCACUAUGCUGCAGAUGAGGCAACAGGCUUAAGACCGGAGCUCUCAGAUUCCCGGAGAGGCCUCUCGCCUUCAGAGGACAGGCGCUCAUUAAAAAUCCUCACUCUUAAUGGCCAUCAAGAUGAGUCAGUGGAGGAAGGCACUCGCCAUCAAACCUGACACCCUGAGUUUGACUCCCGGGAGGGACCCACACAAUGGGAGCAGGAAACCAAUUCUUUGACGUCCACACGCACACUGUGGCAUACACAUGCACGCGCACACACACACACACACACAUACACACACACACUAAACAUUUCUUUUAAAUGAAAAAAUCCUCAUUUAGCCAAAGUAGUUCUUUCUGAAGCACACCUCUGUCCCGGGGCUGCCUUACAGUAAAAGCGACAGAACAAGGUAUCCCAGAGUGCAACUUCCAAACAGACACAACCCAAAAGAAAGAAAUCAGGGUCCUUCUGGAAGCCUUCAAGCAUGACUGGAGGAAGCAGGGUUUGGUGUCAUCUUUGUCUUCUGAACCGAUCAGAAGUUAGCCAAAAGCUUGAGGUUGUAAGGGGAGUUGGGGGAGGGCCACUCUGGAAGAGGACGGCUCUCUGUUCAGGUUAAAACCUUGGCCUGACAGCUCAUGGCUAGAGUGGGCACUGAGUCGUGUUAAGAUGCCAGCUGUACUGUUCUUGUCCAUCCCCAAAACUCAUCACAGGCCAUACUCAACUCCUGUUUUUGUUUCUGCUUCUAAAUAAAGGGACAAUGUCACUCAUACCAACGAGAAAGUAAUCCAUUAGCUAUCCUAAGGGUCAGGGUAGGAUGGUCUAGGGAAGGGGGCUAAAGCCAAGCACCAUCUGGGAAGCUGUUUACACGGCAGCAGUAAUUUAGCAUCCGUUUACCUAGCGCUGCUGCACCUAAGACUGAAGAGAUGGGUAAGCGCCUGCGCUACUAGAUGCUGAUUGGUUGGGAGAUGCAGCACCACCUACGCUGCCAUCUCGGUGUGCUUGAAAUAAGAGCUGAGGGGCAAGCAUCCUCAGCGUUCCGCAAGCCAAGCUACAAAGGAUGGAUGAGGGGAGACAACCUUUGGACUCCACCAUAUGCGUGACAUGCCAAGGAGGAAAUUGAGGACAAGGACACCUGGCAAUCCCAAGCUCCUCAGAAAGAAGGUCCCUCGAACACUUCCACACCCUAGUGAGAAACAGAACCACAGCAAUGCCUGUGUGCUGUCUUCCAUCAUUUUGAUGAUCUCAUUUUUGUUUUUUUUUUGUUUUGUUUUGUUUUGUUUUUUAAAGACAGACUGCGUUACCUCCUCAGAGUUACAACCUACCCUGUGCUCUGCACAGCACGGGGUAGGUAUUUGGUAAUUGAGUAUCACACACAUAAUUUCAGUAGAUCCCCAUGUUACAAACGGAACCGAACUGGGAGGAAUAGAUGGUAGGCCAAUUAUUUCCUUCAAUGUGUUAUUUUUAACACGUUAUUUGAGUCCUUAUUAUAGGAGUAAUGGGAGUGAAUCACAUUUUAUAGAAAUGGUGACGGAGGUUUUGACUCAUCAUUAGCGUUUAUCAACGGAUGAACCAUCCACAAACAUCGUGACGAGUUUGUAAAUCAGAGCUAACGUCUCACCGCAGCGACUCCGAAGAGAGAAUGACAUGGGUUGUGAUAAUGCUGAUCUGAGUGUGAAGUUAAAAACAAAACCAAAAAAAAUCCCUUCGUCUCCAUGCAAACUGAACUGUUUCCUUUCGUGAUGUUGCGAGAAAGAGGCUGAGUUUAAGUGGAAGGGGCGGCGUUCACCAACGGCAGCCGCGCGCUCCCUCAGUUACCAGGCCUGCCACUAAAUGCCACCCGGCGAGAUUUAUUGCCACGCCGAAACAACGCCAUGAGGACCGACACCCCGGCGCAGAUUCAGGUUAGGCGGGUGAGUCAGGGCUCACGGCAUCAGCUUGACAACAUAGAACCUCUGUUUGUCUGUUUGUUUGUUUGUUUCUUCCUCCCGAGAGUUCUUCAACUGUGGGACACGGCGCCAACUCCAGAUGAUAUUUCAGUAGAAACAGCCACCUUUGACUACAGACGCUUUUAAAACUCAAGAUGUCUUUUCCACAGAGCAUGGUAGACUUAGCUACGGAUGUCCCCUGUCCCUGCCAAAAAAUGACAAGCUGCUUGCUCAAAAGCCGCCACUAAUUAGCCGCUGCUGUAAAGCACACCAGCGGAUGUGCCAGCGAAAGCAGAUUGGGAUGAGGGAAGGCCCCGUAACGAGGAGUGGGAAGCAGAACCUAUUUGUGGCUGGUGAACUGUAUACACACACACACACACACUCACAGUCUAAAUCUGGGAGGAGUGGGGGCGGGGAAAAACGGCUAUAGAUGCCAGUUCCUCUUUAAACAGGAAGGGAGGGAGGAUGCUCCUGGGGUGCCGGUGUCACAGAGUCCUAUCACUGCCCUUUCCACCUUCCCAGGAUGAUCCCAGCACGGGAAAGGGAAAGUCUUCCUGAGAGUGGACAGCCUCUGGCUAUCCCAGCUGUGCGGAGACUGAAGGGGAAUACGAAUCAAGGGGUCCCUCUGCCAGUCGACAGCGACCUUCAGAGCUGAGCACUUGCCAUCAGCAGACAGAAACGGAGCAAGCCUCACACAGGGACAGAAAGCAUUUGUUGGGCUCCCAUUACAUGCCAGGCUGCGUUCUAGAUACCAACACACAGUGAUGGCCACAGCAGACGCACAUUCCCCAGACUUGAA
Long non-coding RNA from Meriones unguiculatus (Mongolian gerbil), 7358 nucleotides. RefSeq lists it as uncharacterized. NCBI's taxonomy places the organism in Eukaryota, Metazoa, Chordata, Mammalia, Rodentia, Muridae. The transcript is spliced from 3 exons. The record is from RefSeq and is a predicted model, not a curated record.